This 87-nucleotide transfer RNA is filed under the name Buchnera aphidicola (Tuberolachnus salignus). It matches the Rfam family "tRNA". From Rfam's summary of the family: Transfer RNA (tRNA) molecules are approximately 80 nucleotides in length. Lineage: Bacteria; Pseudomonadati; Pseudomonadota; Gammaproteobacteria; Enterobacterales; Erwiniaceae. The record is from Rfam by way of RNAcentral.
GCCCGGAUGGUGAAAUUGGUAGACACAAGGGACUUAAAAUCCCUCGACUUGAAAAUAGUCUUGCGGGUUCAAGUCCCGCUCUGGGUA